This 261-nucleotide ribosomal RNA is filed under the name uncultured archaeon. RNAcentral describes it as "partial 16S ribosomal RNA". It matches the Rfam family "Archaeal small subunit ribosomal RNA", at positions 748 to 1009 of the family's 1478-position model. The record is from RNAcentral.
UAGCCGUAAACGAUACUCGCUAGGUGUCGGCCACGGUGCGACCGUUGUCGGUGCCGUAGGGAAGCCGUGAAGCGAGCCACCUGGGAAGUACGGCCGCAAGGCUGAAACUUAAAGGAAUUGGCGGGGGAGCACAACAACGGGUGGAGCUUGCGGUUUAAUUGGAUUCAACGCCGGAAAUCUUACCGGGACCGACAGCAACCUGAAGGCCAAGCUGAAGACUUUGCCGGAUUAGCUGAGAGGAGGUGCAUGGCGUAGUCGUGU